GUAAGGAAUAUUGGUCAAUGGACGAAAGUCUGAACCAGCCAUGCCGCGUGAAGGAUGAAGGUCCUCUGGAUUGUAAACUUCUUUUAUCUGGGACGAAAAAAGGGAAUUCUUUCUCACUUGACGGUACCAGAGGAAUAAGCACCGGCUAACUCCGUGCCAGCAGCCGCGGUAAUACGGAGGGUGCAAGCGUUAUCCGGAUUUACUGGGUUUAAAGGGUGCGUAGGUGGGCAGGUAAGUCAGUGGUGAAAUCUCCGGGCUUAACUCGGAAACUGCCAUUGAUACUAUCUGUCUUGAAUAUCCUGGAGGUGAGCGGAAUAUGUCAUGUAGCGGUGAAAUGCUUAGAUAUGACAUAGAACACCAAUUGCGAAGGCAGCUCACUACGGGAUUAUUGACACUGAGGCACGAAAGCGUGGGGAUCAAACAGGAUUAGAUACCCCUGUAGUCC
RNAcentral lists this ribosomal RNA (445 nucleotides) under uncultured bacterium. RNAcentral describes it as "bacterial SSU rRNA". It matches the Rfam family "Bacterial small subunit ribosomal RNA", at positions 354 to 796 of the family's 1533-position model. The record is from RNAcentral.